Long non-coding RNA from Carya illinoinensis, 3080 nucleotides. RefSeq lists it as uncharacterized. The record is from RefSeq and is a predicted model, not a curated record. The transcript has 2 exons. NCBI's taxonomy places the organism in Eukaryota, Viridiplantae, Streptophyta, Magnoliopsida, Fagales, Juglandaceae.
GUAAGUUUAAUUUUUUUUUUUGGAGUCUUUUGUUUUGGAUGGACAUGCAGCGUGAGGGGUUCUUUGGUCUUUUAUGGUCAUAGACACGUGCACGUGGGUUGUUUUAAAACCCUAGCUAACUUUUUGAGCUUUCGUCCCUUCCCAGCCCCCUUUCAUUCGUCCCCCAACCUGAUUCCAACAAGAUCAACUCAUCUCUCACAGCCGAUUUCCCCACCCCUCCCACUUGCAGUGCCGAUUUCACUACGCCCUCCCUCUCACGCAGUCUUCUCUUUAAAUGGGUUGUGCCGUUGAAGUAACGGGCCGGAAACUCCACUAAAGAUGGCUUGUUAGUAUUUUUUCGUUUUGAAACUUGUUAGUAUUUUUUUUUUUUUUUGUAGGGCUAGGGUUUCUCAGCUAAGAAAUCAGCAAUCCUGGAAUUAGCCAUGGAUAUGUAUUAGAGGGUCGAAAAAUACAAGCCCGAGUCUCAGAUAUGUUUUGCUUCUUCUUAUUACUGUUUGGCUCUUGGAAUUAUAUAAAUAUUUAUUUAAUUUCUAGAGUUGUGGGUUUAUGAGUGACUCCUAUAAAUUGAGCAUGUUGUUUGAUCUGGUUUGACUGUGAUUACUUCAUCUAGUUUGAUUGUGAUUAGUUCAUCUGGUUUUUUUUAAUUAUGGGGUUUUAUUUAUUUAUUUGGGUAUGUUAUAUGCUGUUGGCUCUUGGAAUUAUAUGGCUUCUUGGGUUAAAUGGAUUAGGGUCUGUCUUGGGUUUUGGGUCUGUGAUUAGUUCAUCUGGUUUAACUGCUGUUCCAUUUUUUUUUUUGUAGUUUUUUUUUAAUUUUUUUAAUUUCCAAUGACACAACAUCAUACUACUUCACACUACUUUUCUAUUCUUAACCUAUUCACUAUCAAGAUAGCCAACAAAAACAUAAUACAUUAUUAUUGGAACACAUUUUUAUUUUUAGAUCCUCACCCUAGAAUGUUUAUCUAAUUCUGUUUUUGCUCCUAGCUUUAGAUAUAUCACUGACAAAACAUCACAUUUUUCUUUUCUUAACUUAUUCACUGUCAAGAUAGCUCACAAAAGAAAGAGUACACUUUUAUUUUUAGAUCUUUGAUAAAUACAUUAUUAUUGGAACACAUUUUUAUUUUUAGAUCCUCACCCUAGGAUGUUUAUCUAAUUCUGUUUUUGCUCCUAGCUUUAGAUAUAUCACUGACAAAACAUCACAUUUUUCUUUUCUUAACCUAUUCACUGUCAAGAUAGCUCACAAAAGAAAGAGUACACUUUUAUUUUUAGAUCUUUGAUAAAUCUGACAAUAGCAAAUGAAAGGGAUCGAAAAGUGGAAGAUAACAAAAUAAGUAAACCACAAGAUAGACUUACAAAGAUAAAAAUCAGAAAUGUAAAACUCUGAAAGUCCCCAACCAAGAAAACCUGAAAAGAAAUCACCAUUAGAAACGAACAGAAAACAUUAAGCACUGCAGGAAACAAUGAAAAAGAAGAAGAAGAAAGAAAUGCUAGUAGGGUAAGGUAACAAUGAAAGAAAGAAGAAAGAAAAGCUAGUAGGGUAAAGAAAAUAACCCAAGAACUAAAUGUGCAGCUCUGAAAGAAAGCACCAAACGACAUAAGCAGGGUGAACAAAAAUGAUCUUCAUAGACCCUUUUAAGGUGCAAUGGCUUCCUGAACUAUCCUCCUAGGAACUCCCAUCGCAUGCAGCAGACCACUGCAAAACCAAUCAACCCACUGGAAAACCACUGCAUAUGCAGCAUCAGACCACUGCAUAUGCAUUUUUUAUUUCUUGCGUUUUAUUUGUAGAAAACUGGCAGCAUCAGACCACUGUAUAUGCAUUUUUUAUUUCUUGCAUUUUAUUUAUCAGGAUUAACUAUAUAUUUUUUUAAAAAAAAUUUCCUGCAGUAAUGAAUGCAGUUUUAUUUAUUCACUUAUAUGUAGAUGUAGAACUGACCUCCUAAGGCAUGCCAUCAUAUGGAUCUUUAUCCUGAUUAACUAUACUUUUUAAUGUUUUUAUAAUUCUUUAUUUCUUGCAUUUUUAUUUAUCAGGAUUAAAUAUUUGUGAUUUUUUCAUAUGGGACUUGUUUUUUCUUCUUAGGUAGUGAGCACUGUUUUCUUUGUUGUGAUUAAUCAUAUGAGAUUUGUUUUUCUUUUACACACUGAGCAAUUUUUUCUUCUUUAUCCUGAACGGGCAGGAUUUUUUUAUUUGUUUUUAAGAUUUUAAUUAUUUUUUUUUAUCCAGAUUAAGAAUAUUUUUUUUAAUGAUUUUUGUGAUUCCAUAUGUUACAGAUGUAAAAGUCACAAUUACCUAUACGCAUGCAAAACUCACAAUUAACUACAGCCAUGCACUGACCAACUGAAGGAGGUUCUAUACGCAUGCACUGAUAAGUGACAAGAGGGGACAAGAGCAGGCCUUGGUACCAAUGCAACCGGCGUAUUUAGACUGCACAACCAAUGAAUUUAAAGACUUUUGCACGGAUGAAAUGCACAAAUUGAAGCAAAGAGUGAAGACAUAAAACACGGAAACGGAAUGGGAUUGCACUGUUCAUUACUGUAGCAGAAGCAUAGAUGCUUUUUAUUAUAGAUAGAUAUAUAUAAAUAUAUACAAGUUGCGCGCUUCUCCUACAAUGACCCGUGAGACCAAGCCAUAUAUAUAUGCGUGCAGUACCUACUAAUUAAUCACAACCAAAAUAUCUGUCUACCUUAAUUUGUUGAUAGUUGGGCACCCAUCUAGCAAUCCAAGCAUAUUAUAUUAAUACAAUUUGUUUAAGAAGCUAGCACAACAAUAUCUUCAAUGCUUACACACUAUUGGGUUUGAUUUUUAGAUGGAUAUAAAAUACUAAUUUCUAUGCAUCGGAUCUCCAAUUUUACAGGAGGAUGGUUGCUUGUUUUUUCUCAUGCUGGAAACAUGUACGAUCCAAACUACAGGCCUAAAAUUCAGCCAUGAUAAUCUGUUUGUUAGGCUGAUCUUUUGAAUUCCUUCAGGUCUGUAUAUCUUAUAUAUAUGUUGGCCGGAGAUUCUGCAAAUAUGUUUGGCUGUCUCCAGGAUUUGUACGUGUGCAAUGUUAAAGUGGAGAAAAUAAGAUGCUUUGGUUUUUGUUGCA